RNAcentral lists this ribosomal RNA (513 nucleotides) under uncultured Halanaerobacter sp. RNAcentral's name for it is "bacterial SSU rRNA". It matches the Rfam family "Bacterial small subunit ribosomal RNA", at positions 31 to 544 of the family's 1533-position model. The record is from RNAcentral. Lineage: Bacteria; Bacillati; Bacillota; Clostridia; Halanaerobiales; Halobacteroidaceae.
GAACGCUGGCGGCGUGCCUAACACAUGCAAGUCGAACGGAGAGAUUUUUCAAAGCUUCGGUGGAGAGAAAUCUUUUAGUGGCGGACGGGUGAGUAACGCGUGAGCAACCUGUCCUUAAGAGAGGGAUAACAACGUGAAAACGUUGCUAAUACCACAUAAGACCACAGAGCCGCAUGGCUCAGAGGUAAAAGGAGAAAUCCGCUUAAGGGUGGGCUCGCGUCCCAUUAGUUAGUUGGUAGGGUAAUGGCCUACCAAGACUGCGAUGGGUAGCCGGACUGAGAGGUUGAACGGCCACAUUGGGACUGAGACACGGCCCAAACUCCUACGGGAGGCAGCAGUGGGGAAUAUUGGGCAAUGGGGGAAACCCUGACCCAGCAACGCCGCGUGAGGGAAGAAGGCUUUCGGGUUGUAAACCUCUGUCCCAUGGGAAGAAAAAAAUGACGGUACCAUGGGAGGAAGCCCCGGCUAACUACGUGCCAGCAGCCGCGGUAAGACGUAGGGGGCAAGCGUUGU